Molecule: ribosomal RNA, 507 nt
Filed under: uncultured Glomeromycotina
Lineage: Eukaryota; Fungi; Glomeromycota
Description: SSU rRNA
Rfam family: Eukaryotic small subunit ribosomal RNA
Source: RNAcentral
AGCAGCCGCGGUAAUUCCGGCUCCAAUAGCGUAUAUUUAAGUUGUUGCAGUUAAAAAGCUCGUAGUUGAAUUUCGGGAUCAGUACGCUGGUCAUGCCUUUGGUAUGCACUGGUGUCACUGGUUUCUCCCUUCUGAAGAACCGUGAUGUCAUUAAUUUGGUGUCGCGGGGAAUCAGGACUGUUACUUUGAAAAAAUUAGAGUGUUUAAAGCAGGCUCACGCUUGAAUACAUUAGCAUGGAAUAAUGAAAUAGGACGUUUGACCCUAUUUUGUUGGUUUCUAGGAUCGACGUAAUGAUUAAUAGGGAUAGUUGGGGGCAUUAGUAUUCAAUUGUCAGAGGUGAAAUUCUUGGAUUUAUUGAAGACUAACUACUGCGAAAGCAUUUGCCAAGGAUGUUUUCAUUAAUCAAGAACGAAAGUUAGGGGAUCGAAGACGAUCAGAUACCGUCGUAGUCUUAACCAUAAACUAUGCCGACUAGGGAUCGGAUGAUGUUAAUUUUAUAAUGACUC